GAAUGCUGACAUAAGUAACGAUAAAGCGGGUGAAAAGCCCGCUCGCCGGAAGACCAAGGGUUCCUGUCCAACGUUAAUCGGGGCAGGGUGAGUCGACCCCUAAGGCGAGGCCGAAAGGCGUAGUCGAUGGGAAACGGGUUAAUAUUCCCGUACUUGGUGUUACUGCGAAGGGGGGACGGAGAAGGCUAUGUUGGCCGGGCGACGGUUGUCCCGGUUUAAGCGUGUAGGUGUGUGUUCCAGGUAAAUCCGGUUCACUUUAACACUGAGGCGUGACGACGAGGCACUACGGUGCUGAAGCAACAAAUGCCCUGCUUCCAGGAAAAGCCUCUAAGCAUCAGGUAACAUCAAAUCGUACCCCAAACCGACACAGGUGGUCAGGUAGAGAAUACCAAGGCGCUUGAGAGAACUCGGGUGAAGGAACUAGGCAAAAUGGUGCCGUAACUUCGGGAGAAGGCACGCUGACACGUAGGUGAAGUGAUUUACUCAUGGAGCUGAAGUCAGUCGAAGAUACCAGCUGGCUGCAACUGUUUAUUAAAAACACAGCACUGUGCAAACACGAAAGUGGACGUAUACGGUGUGACGCCUGCCCGGUGCCGGAAGGUUAAUUGAUGGGGUCAGCGCAAGCGAAGCUCCUGAUCGAAGCCCCGGUAAACGGCGGCCGUAACUAUAACGGUCCUAAGGUAGCGAAAUUCCUUGUCGGGUAAGUUCCGACCUGCACGAAUGGCGUAAUGAUGGCCAGGCUGUCUCCACCCGAGACUCAGUGAAAUUGAACUCGCUGUGAAGAUGCAGUGUACCCGCGGCAAGACGGAAAGACCCCGUGAACCUUUACUAUAGCUUGACACUGAACAUUGAGCCUUGAUGUGUAGGAUAGGUGGGAGGCUUUGAAGUGUGGACGCCAGUCUGCAUGGAGCCGACCUUGAAAUACCACCCUUUAAUGUUUGAUGUUCUAACGUGGACCCGUGAUCCGGGUUGCGGACAGUGUCUGGUGGGUAGUUUGACUGGGGCGGUCUCCUCCUAAAGAGUAACGGAGGAGCACGAAGGUUGGCUAAUCCUGGUCGGACAUCAGGAGGUUAGUGCAAUGGCAUAAGCCAGCUUGACUGCGAGCGUGACGGCGCGAGCAGGUGCGAAAGCAGGUCAUAGUGAUCCGGUGGUUCUGAAUGGAAGGGCCAUCGCUCAACGGAUAAAAGGUACUCCGGGGAUAACAGGCUGAUACCGCCCAAGAGUUCAUAUCGACGGCGGUGUUUGGCACCUCGAUGUCGGCUCAUCACAUCCUGGGGCUGAAGUAGGUCCCAAGGGUAUGGCUGUUCGCCAUUUAAAGUGGUACGCGAGCUGGGUUUAGAACGUCGUGAGACAGUUCGGUCCCUAUCUGCCGUGGGCGCUGGAGAACUGAGGGGGGCUGCUCCUAGUACGAGAGGACCGGAGUGGACGCAUCACUGGUGUUCGGGUUGUCAUGCCAAUGGCACUGCCCGGUAGCUAAAUGCGGAAGAGAUAAGUGCUGAAAGCAUCUAAGCACGAAACUUGCCCCGAGAUGAGUUCUCCCUGAGACUUAAAGUCUCCUGAAGGAACGUUGAAGACGACGACGUUGAUAGGCCGGGUGUGUAAGCGCAGCGAUGCGUUGAGCUAACCGGUACUAAUGAACCGUGAGGCUUAACCUUACAACGCCGAAG
This 1667-nucleotide ribosomal RNA is filed under the name Salmonella enterica. RNAcentral's name for it is "partial 23S ribosomal RNA". It matches the Rfam family "Bacterial large subunit ribosomal RNA", at positions 1292 to 2925 of the family's 2925-position model. RNAcentral also lists the same sequence under 1 other name. The record is from RNAcentral. Lineage: Bacteria; Pseudomonadati; Pseudomonadota; Gammaproteobacteria; Enterobacterales; Enterobacteriaceae.